GGAGAGUUGCCUGAGAGGCCGAAAGGACUUGUUUGCUAAACAAGCGAACUGGAAACGGUUCCAAGGGUUCGAAUCCCUUACUCUCCGCAA
RNAcentral lists this transfer RNA (90 nucleotides) under Epilithonimonas hispanica. RNAcentral's name for it is "Chryseobacterium hispanicum tRNA-Ser". It matches the Rfam family "tRNA". From Rfam's summary of the family: Transfer RNA (tRNA) molecules are approximately 80 nucleotides in length. Their secondary structure includes four short double-helical elements and three loops (D, anti-codon, and T loops). Lineage: Bacteria; Pseudomonadati; Bacteroidota; Flavobacteriia; Flavobacteriales; Weeksellaceae. The record is from RNAcentral. RNAcentral also lists the same sequence under 2 other names.